GAUGAACGCUAGCUACAGGCUUAACACAUGCAAGUCGAGGGGAAACGGCAUUAAGUGCUUGCACUUUUUGGACGUCGACCGGCGCACGGGUGAGUAACGCGUAUCCAACCUUCCCAUGACUAAGGGAUAACCUGCCGAAAGGCAGACUAAUACCUUGUGGUCUUCACUGACGGCAUCAGAUGUGAAGUAAAGAUUUAUCGGUUAUGGAUGGGGAUGCGUCUGAUUAGUUAGUUGGCGGGGUAACGGCCCACCAAGGCAACGAUCAGUAGGGGUUCUGAGAGGAAGGUCCCCCACAUUGGAACUGAGACACGGUCCAAACUCCUACGGGAGGCAGCAGUGAGGAAUAUUGGUCAAUGGGCGAGAGCCUGAACCAGCCAAGUAGCGUGCAGGACGACGGCCCUAUGGGUUGUAAACUGCUUUUGUAUGGGGAUAAAGUCAAUCACGUGUGAUUGUUUGCAGGUACCAUACGAAUAAGGACCGGCUAAUUCCGUGCCAGCAGCCGCGGUAAUACGGAAGGUCCGGGCGUUAUCCGGAUUUAUUGGGUUUAAAGGGAGCGUAGGCUGGAGAUUAAGUGUGUUGUGAAAUGUAGACGCUCAACGUCUGACUUGCAGCGCAUACUGGUUUCCUUGAGUACGCACAACGUUGGCGGAAUUCGUCGUGUAGCGGUGAAAUGCUUAGAUAUGACGAAGAACUCCGAUUGCGAAGGCAGCUGACGGGAGCGCAACUGACGCUGAAGCUCGAAGGUGCGGGUAUCGAACAGG
RNAcentral lists this ribosomal RNA (761 nucleotides) under Prevotella melaninogenica. Its description in RNAcentral is "bacterial SSU rRNA". It matches the Rfam family "Bacterial small subunit ribosomal RNA", at positions 28 to 776 of the family's 1533-position model. Lineage: Bacteria; Pseudomonadati; Bacteroidota; Bacteroidia; Bacteroidales; Prevotellaceae. The record is from RNAcentral.